This is a non-coding RNA of Ictidomys tridecemlineatus (thirteen-lined ground squirrel), 10870 nucleotides long. The record is from RefSeq and is a predicted model, not a curated record. NCBI's taxonomy places the organism in Eukaryota, Metazoa, Chordata, Mammalia, Rodentia, Sciuridae.
UAUUUAUUUCUUUUGUUUUGUUCUGCUUUUUUGUGUGUGUGUGUGUAUGUGUGGUAAGAACACUAAAUGUUAGAUCUAACCUCUUUACAAAUUUUUAAGUGCCUAGUAUCCAGUUGUUAACUAUGGGCACUAUCUUGUACUGAAUAGAUUUUAAAGGCCCAUUUUGCUCUUUGCAGUCCCAGAACACAAGAGAGUGUCACUAAAAAUGCAUUGAAUGAAUGAUUGGUUUGGAGGGGACAUGGUGAUUUCAGUUUGUAAAUGCGAAUUCUCCAAGGGCAGAUGUCCAAGAGGUAGCUGAAUGAUGAUAAGAGACAUUGAGCCAGGUGUGGUGGUACAUCCCUGUAAUCCUAACUACUCAGGAGACAGGAGAAUCACAAGUUCAAGGCCAAUCAGCAAGAUUGUGUCUCAAAAUUUUUUAAAAAGGGCUGGGGAUGUAGCUCAGUGGUAGAGUGCUUGCCUGGUAUGAGGGAGGCCCUGGAUUAUAACCCACGCAUUGUAAAACAAAACCAAAAAGUGUAGUUACCAACUAAUGCUGGGCACAGUAUGGACCCCUCCUGGAUUCUCAUUCCCUCUGCUCAUCCCCACUCACCCCACAGUCAAGUCUGCACCUGCCUCCUUGGAGACCUCCCCACCUCCUCUUUCACCCCUGUUAGAUUAUCAUGAAGCAGGGAACAGUGCAAAUGAAGAGUUCUCAUACUCCAACUUCAUGGUAACUCAACCUCAGGUCCUGACCAUUAAUAAGUUACAACUGGAUAACAAGAGAGACUGGGAGAAAAGAAUAAGAAGGAAGAACAGAUCUUCCUAUGAUGCUAUUUUACAUUCAUUGUGGCUGAAGCUCUAGUCAUCUUCCUAGUCUGCUUAAAAACCCUCUGUCCAAAAACUGACUGGAAGAAAUAUCUCAAAAAAAAAAAAAAAAGCAGAGUAAAGGGCUGGGGAUAUAGCUAAGUUGGUAGAGUGCUUGCCUUGCAUACACAAGGCCCUAUGCGUGCCCCUCCCCCCCCAAAAUAGAGUAAAAAUGCAGAGAUGACAAUUAUGGCAGUAUAGAUGAGAACAUGUCUUGCAAAAGAAAAUAAAACAUCCCUUCACACCCUCAGGAUAAAGUCCAAUCUCUUUACCCCAGACUUUAAAAAAAAUUUUUUUGGUGGAGCUGAGGAUUGAACCCAGGGCCUUAUGCAUGCAUGCAAGGUAAACACUCUACCAACUGAGUUAAAUUCUCAGCCCCUGUAUUGUGGCCUUUGAGGCCCUUUGUACAGUUCCAUUCCCCUCCACCUCUGCUUGGCUUCUGCAGUACAGAACCAAGUUCCAAACAGGCCCAGCUGUUUCCCCUCACCCUGGGAUACCCUGCUCCUGGCUAUUCACUCUUCAAGGCUUAGCCCAGAGCUACCUCCUUCAGGAAGCCCACUGACUCCUCCACCCCUCCCCACUCCAUGAUACUAUGCUGUCCUUUGUCACUGCCCUAAUCAUACAGAGCUGCCCUCAUGUAUGCCUUUCUCCCCUCCUGGCCCAUGAUUUACUUGUGGACAGAGACCAGGCUUGACCUCAGCCCAAGGCCAGGCAACCCAGAAGAUGAGACCCCCCCAGAAGGAUUACUGAGAGUCUGAGAGGCUUUUGGGGCACAGCUAAGAAGGUAGAACACUGAAGAGCAGGUAGAUGGCUGUCCUUGGUGACAAGUUUCAGGGGGGGGGAUGGGACAGAGGUCAGAGGGAUUAGGGAUAAUGGGGAAGUGAGGAAGUGUAGAUAGUGGGCAACCUCUUCAGUCAAGGGAGCUGCCCUUCCUCUGUCCUUCCUUUCAUCCUGUUCAUAGCAAUUCUCUUGUCAGUUUCUUCUUUUCCAGCUUGAACAUUCCCUUCUGGAAAUGUGAGUAUAUACCUCUCCCCAGGAAUCCCAAAUUUCCCUAUGACCCCAAACCUUCCUCAGUAUCCCAAACCUCUUCAUCAAGUGUUCUCUAAAACUUUUCCUUAUGAUUCCUAAAAGUUCCAUUAAUCCCCCAAAUCUCACUUCAAAAAAGUUUCCCUGCCUCACAACCUGGAGGAGUGUGGAUUGUCCCUUACCUAGGCCUUUUCCAGGGUGGGGAAGCUGUUGGUGGUCUCCCUUGAUGGUCACCAGGGGAGGGGAGGACAGAUUUCUCCUUUAUACUGUCAAUUCCCCACCCCUUGUACCUCCCGCACACAGCUGCUCAGAAAUAUGACACUCCCCCUUCUAUUUCUGGAUGUCUCCUCAAGGCUCAGGAACACAAGUCUCUCUGCCCAGUCUGAUGGACCCAGUGCUCUGCCCAAGAAAAAAGGAAUCCCUAAAGCCAGAUGGAAGGUCGGCUGAGGCAUGGAGGAUAUUGCCUGGGAAAACUACCUCUUCAUUGGGUUUGGUCCUAUGCCCUGCUCACCAAGGAAGAAAAAGAGAGGGUGGCUUCAAUAACCCUGGCUUCAGGAGGCUUCUCUUUGCAUUUUAUUCCUUUCUUGUGAAUAUCGACUCAUCUGAGGUGGAAGGAGAGAUUCAGCAUAAGGAGGUUGGGUUCUAGGUCCCAGCUCCAACUUUGAUUUGCCAUGUGAUCCGGAAGGACUUUCUACCCUACUCAGCACCCCUGUCCAUCACUUGAGUACUUGUGGGGAUUUUAGGUCCUAGGAUGGGAGAAGCAGUUCCUCAAACCCAGAGGGUGGAGAGAGAACAAUGCAAUGAUCUCAGUAAGUCUGGUCCUUGGGGGCUGUUCCAGUAGGCCAAGCUGUCCCCACUCUAUCCUCUGUCCCUGCAACUGCAAACACUCAUGUCCCUCCAGGCAGAGGGGCAGGUAAGAUAUGUAGGCAAGGUGCUAUUUUUCACAAUUAUGGUAAAUGGUAGACUGCCUCCUGAUUCUCUAACCUAGGAGGGCCCUCAGGUGGCUAGUCUCAUUGGAAAGGAGCAAAAGAACUUUUCUUGAAGCUAUUUCCCUAUCAGGCAUUCUGUCUGGGAAGAUGCCAUUGUUUCCAUCUCCCUCCCUACCUGCCCCAUGCCUGGGCACAUUUUGUCAUCUUCUUUGGUUUUUAGGAAGGGUUUGGGGAGUAAAAAGGAUUCAGGUGAAGGAAACUCUUUAUUUGGUGGACAAUCUGAAGGGUUGGAGCAGGGCAGGGAUGGGACAAAUUAGUAAAACAAGAUCAGGAUAGAGACCUUUGUGUAGAUCUAACUUCCCAGGCCUAAUCCAGCCCCAUCAGGUGACAUCUCUUAAAUUUUGACGUUCAGGACCCCCACUCCCUCCUCCAUGUUCAGGCUGUCAGAAAGCUCUUCCCUGAGCCAUUUACUGAUAAGUCAGCUGGCCCCUUCUCUCAUUACCUCUACUUGGGCAUCCAAAACUCAGAGCCAGGUUAUUUAUAGUCAAGCUUACAGGGGGUGGAAGGGAAAGCUAGUGUUUACAAACACGGGGUCACCUGAGUCUGAGAGACUGGAACACGUGACCAACGCGUGGGUCAUAUGCAAAUUGUACGCAAACUAGCGAGUGCUCAAGUCACUUCUUAGCAACCAGGGACCCUCUUCCUGGUCUGGGGGCCCGGGCCUGGCUGGGUCAGGGCACCCUUGAUGGGGAGGCCGAAUCUCACAAGUUCCUCCCCCAGCCCAGGCCUUGCUCGGGGCCAAAGAGGGUCCUGGAGAAAAAACCUGCAGGCUCUGGGCAAGGCAGUUUCGUCCUCAGCCCCUCACCCUGCCCACGCUGGGUCUGUAGUUGCAGAAGACAGGUGUCGGGUUACAGCUGGGGCUAUAGUUAGCCGCAGAGACUUUGUUUAGCAGUUGGGGGACAGCGCUGCGCCCGCAGGAACUUUAGCCCCUUCUGGGUUCCUUCCCGCUUUCUGCCUCCACAACCUCCAGGCCCGCCCUUAGCCCCGCCCUCGUCCCACCUGGACCCUAGUCCACCCAAGGGACCCCUCACGCUGCGAGAGAGGAAGAGUGCUGGAGUCCAUCGAAGCCAGGAUUCCAACGCCGUGAGCCUCAUCUGGCUCCGGCAUGAUGCUGGCGGCUCUGCUGAUCACCCUCAGCCACCUGGGCUUCAAUACCCUCUUCCUGCAGGCCUAUGCUGUUCCUAUUCUGCCCCUGGGCCUGGCUCCAGACACCUUCGAUGAUGCCUAUGUGGGUUGCUUAGAGGAGAUGGAGGAGAAGGCAGCCCUCCUGCUAAAGGAGGAGAUGGCUCAUCACACCCUGCUGCGGGAAUCUUGGGAGGCAGCCCAGAAGGCCUGGGAACAUCAUCGUCAAGGGCUCACUCUCCCCCUUGGCUUCAAAGCCCAGCAUGGAAUAGCCAUUAUGGUCUACACCAACUCAUCUAAUACUUUGUACUGGGAGCUGAAUCAGGCCGUGCGGAUGGGCGGUGUCUCCCGUGAAUACUACAUGAGACACUUCCCCUUCAAAGCCCUGCAUUUCUACCUAACCAGAGCCCUGCAGCUUCUGCGGAGCCAUGGAGGCUGCAGUAGAGGACCUGGGGAGGUGGUGUUUAGAGGCGUGAGCAGCCUUCGGUUUGAACCCAAGAGGUUGGGAGAUUCUGUCCGCUUAGGCCAGUUUGCCUCCAGUUCCCUGGAUGAGUCAAUAGCCCGCAGGUUUGGUAAUGCCACCUUCUUCUCUCUAAGGACUUGUUUUGGGGCUCGUAUUCAGGCCCUAUCUGUCUUCCCUGAAGAACGUGAGGUGCUGAUCCCCCCCCAUGAAGUCUUCUUGGUCACUGGGUUCUCCCAGGAUGGACCCCGGAACCUAGUGACUCUCUGGAGCUAUAAUCGGACCUGCAGCCACUUUAACUGCGCAUUUUUGGGUGGGGAGAAGAGGCGGCGAUGUGUGCCUGGACCAGAAGUAGAGCAGCCAGAGUCUCCUUCCAAGGGGAACUUUUCUACUUUCCUAGAAAAUCCCACUCUUGGCUCCUGGGAGGUUCCAGUUCUCAAGAGCUGGGUCCUGAAAGUCCAACACCUGCCACUUAGGAAUCCUGGGAACUGGUGACCUUCAUAUGAAGAAGGGAGCUUCAAAUAGCCUUGAGAAGCAAGACCAUGGUUCUGGAUCCACCUCCAGCAGCCAUCUUCCAAAAGGGUGUGGGGAGACCUUAGGCCAUUGCAGGGUUGAGGGAAGCACACUAUCUGGUGGGGACUUCCUUGGACAAGCAAGGGAAAUACUGAUGGCGCCUCAAUUAAAUGGUGUCGCAGUAUGGAGACAUGGAAUUAUAUGAUUGGUUUAUUCCAUGAGACUGGACCAUCUGCCCUUGCCAGGCUCAGGGACUGAGGAAAUAAAAAAGAGUAACUUUCUGGUCACUCUGAGACAUGGUCUCCUGUCAGACCCCCAUCAUACACUUGAUCUUGCAAACUCAGAAGCUUUAACAGCCAGAGGGUCCUCACAGCACCCAGGAAGGCAGGAAAAGUGACAGAUGGAUUUCUCAGCGCUAUUUGUCUGAUGAGGAAUACAAGGCCAAGAGGGACUUAACUUGUUCAAGGUCAGAUAGGUAGUAUUGCAGCCAAACCUCUUGCUUCCCAGGCCUCCUGCCUCCUAGUCCAGAGCUCUUUUCCACCAAAGAUCUGAGGAAUCCCAAAGUAGAAUUCUAAGCCCAAAAAUAUCUGGAAGUCCAGAGCAAGCCAUUUCUUUCUACCCUGCUCACCCAGGGUUCAGAAGGAAGUGGAGGAAGGAUCUUAAAGCAUCAAGACACAGGAAUUCUCAUGUACUCCGUGGGCAUCUGAUGUCACCAGUAGUAACUUUAUUGAAGCAAGGAAAGCUCUUACUAAGUGAUCCUUGCCCCCAUCCAACUAUGGUGCUGAAUGUAGAGGAAGGGGCCUUUCCACUGCAUUAGGAAUCCCUAUUGGUCCCCAAAGCCUCUUGUGGGUCCAAGUCCCCAGCCCCUUCUUCUUCUUGCUCCCUGUGCACCAGCACAUGAGCUGGGGAGGAGAGGCCAGACUCUCCAGAAGCUGGAGCCCCAGCCUCUUCAGCAGUCUGAAGCCCAGUUUCCGAAGAGUCUUGGGUCCCCACAAUUCCUGACAUGGUCAGCUCUGGGGUCUCAGAGAUGGGGGGCCCCAGGUUUUGAAAGCUGUUGCGCACUCGGGUGAUAUAGCGACUGAGGAUACUGGCACCAUCAGGAGGCCGGGGCAUCCCUCCUGCUGCCAAGUUUCGACGAACACCAGCAACCUCGCUUUGUAGUCGAGACACAGUUUUGGUUAACUCUGUCAGUCUGUUGCCCAGGUCUGAGAGGUGGAACAUUGAGAAGGAUGUUUUUCAGAAGAUGAGCCUAUUCAGUAUUUCUUCUGUCCUCAACAGAACCCCAGAGGACACCUUGUUUGAGAUUCCUGAGGACCCAGGACUGGAAGAACUGAGGGGUCAGUGGUUCAGUGAGUGGACAGAAUCUGAGGUAGAUGAAGCUAAGUAGUGGUGGAGGUGGCUACUUUAGAGCUAUAAAGAAGGAAGGUCUUGUGGGUCAGAAAAGUCAAGAUGACUCAUGGGGAGGAAUUUUAAUUGGUAGGGAUUUGUACAUCUGCCCCAACAGCCCUCUCCCCAAUCUACACCUGGCCAGCUCAUUCCUGUCCUUCAGGCUUAGUUCAAAUUCUACCUGCCUUUUCUCCAACUUCUCCCUCUCAAAACAAUAGGCUUUUUCUGUCCUUUGGGUUCCCAGUGCAAUCUGUGUCUCUCUUUCUACCUAGUAUGAUGGCUUCUCCCCAUACUGAAAGCUUCCCUUGUAUGCCUGCUGUAUACAGUGCCCCUCCCUACAAGACAAGCCUAGAACAAGGGAGGACACAGCAACAAUCACAGGUUGAAUACGUAAUCUCUAUGUAGCGCUGUACCAGAGCCUUGAUGACACGAAGGCGGUAGGACCCACGCUCUCCCUCCCCAGGCCCAGGCCCUGCCCCUGCCCCCUGGUUGGCCUGGAAUGGGAAGACAGGAAGGUGAGAGAGAUUUCUCUACCCUCAGCCUUCCUCUAAUCACUGUGCCACCCCAGCAAUAAAGGACCAAGUCAAAGUUUGCGCAGACUUCUUUGUCCCUACAGGCCACACACCUAGACCUGGUCUGCCUCCACUUCACAGUGGAGUCCCAAAAGUGAGAAGGAUCGGGGCCAGAAGCUAGGGAAGGGUCGACUACGAGAGGCCCAUGGUAGUGGGUGGAAGCAAAGGCUAGGAGGUAGAGGAGAGAUAGGAGAACCCCCAAAAGACAUGGCAGUAACAUGAAGGGGCUGUUGUGCCCAACCAGACCAGGUUAGGGUACAGAAAAGCAGAGUAAGUGAGCCCCCUGGAUGCCCACCUUCCUCUCCCAGGUCUCUGUCAGCCUGAUAAUUUCCCAGUUGGUUGGACAUUUACCCGUGGCUUCUUAAAAUGUUUCUGAAAAACAUUCAGCCACAUCUUGGCCCAGUUUGUCUGGAACUUAGUAAGUAUCUGUAGCUUGGGAGGAGGGUGGCAUGAACUUCUAUUCACAUUGUAUAAUACAGCACUGGGAAUUUUAGGAAAUGACCAGAGCCAAGAAGAGGGAAAAGGAUGUUCUGGGAACAUAGCUGGAAGGAUAGCUAUGCCAGAGAUGUGCACACAAAUGGAUGGUAUACAGUUGAAGCCUGGUGUGAGAGGGCCAAUAAGUAGAUGAGGUACUCACAUAGGUGGGGAUUGGGGGAUAGUCUGGCUUCUUGGUUUUGCAGCAGGAGCAGCAACAGCAAAUAAACUGGAAAAUUCUCCUGAGAAAUUUCAAUGGUGGCAAGAGGUUAGUUACAGAACAGUUCUAGGGAAAUGAGGGCAGGAGGUCUGGGGAUGUGACUCAGUAGUAGAGUACUUUCCUAACAUGUACAGGGCCCAAUACAACAACAAAAAAUAAAAAAGAAAGAAAAGAAAAAUAAAUGGGGUAAGGAGCUGGGUAAUGUGUGGGGGCUGGGUGCUCAGGGGUUAGGGUGAGAGCUCUGAGGUCAUCACCUGAGAAGGUAGAAGAAGGCCUUGGGGGAGGGCAGGAUGUUGAAGGGCACAGGCAGAGUCAGGCCCUCUCGGAAAUAGGAUAGGUAGAGCUUAGAGCGAGCAAACUUCCACUCCACGUCAGCAUCAUCCUGGAGGCCAGGUGGCAAGGGACUGUGAAGGACUAGGUUAGCACCUGGCUUUCCUGCUCACUGAAUCUGCCUUCUCCCUCAGUCCUCACAUCUCUUACUCUCCAGUGUGUCAACCAUUCUCCCCAUUCUGGCUUCCAACUCCUUGGACACCCACCUCCCCCCUGCCUGUCUCCACCUUUCCUCUCUCCCUCCCCGUUAUCUCUUAUCCUCACAUCUUGAUCCUGCCCAGCCUGUUCUCCAGCAUGCAAACCAUAACCCUUCCCCUCCCUUGCCUCUCUCUUCUCAUGUUCCCAACUACUUUUCCACAAUGCACUCCUCCCCCUGACCUGAAAGAGGAAAGAGCACUAGACUUGAUGUCUAGAGACACUAACAGCAUUACCGGGACCUUCAUUUUUCAGAGGAGAAUUUAUCCAGAGCCACAAACAAGACCACAGAGGAGGCAGAGCAGGAACACAAGUGUCUUAACUCCUUGCACCUGCUCCUCUCCAUCCUUUCUCCCUUCUUCUAACUAGCUUAGGUUGACCUUGGUUCACGCACCUCGAUCUUCUGGAAGGAGUUGGUGAUCAUGGCAAUGAGCAUGUUGAGCAGCACAAUGACCAUGACGAUGGUAAAAAUGCCAUAGAGGGCCCGGCCUACAAAUUCAGGCACCAGAAACUGAGGCAUGUCCACCACACUGUGCUCCUCCAUGCCAAACAUGGUCCAGAACAGAAACUGGAAAGUCUCGUUGAAACUGGCAUGUGGGGUCAAGAAAAGGAUAGGAAAUGAGGGGUGAGGGAACAGCCUGGACUUUGCCCAGACACACUCUUCCUCACCCUCCAGGAUCCAGCCAGAGGUGUUCUGUAUUCAUGAAGUCCUUCUGGGGGAACGCUUGCCACUUCUUUUCUCUCUCUCUCUCUCUUUUUUUGGGGGUGUGUGUGUGUGUGUGUGUGUGUGUGUGUGUGUGUUGGGGGCUGAUACUGGUGAUUGAACUUAGGAACAUUCUGCCUCUGAGCUACAUACCCAGCCCUUUUUAAAACUUUGAGACAGGAUCUCACUAAGUUGCCCACCCUGGCCUUGAAUGUGGGAUCCUCCUGUAUCUGGGAUUACAAGUGUGUGCCACCAUAUUCUGCAACCUUGCCAUUUCUGGGAUUCAACUUUUAUUCUUUUAGUCAACAAAUAUUUAUUGAGCACACUGUAGAGUCAUAGGUGCUAAGAACACAUUGGUGAACAAGACAAGCAGUCUCUGUCUCCAAGGACCUUAUGUUCUGGGGUGAGGAUCACUCUGGGAGGUGACAUGGACAUUACUAACACUUGAUCUUAGCCAAAAUGCGGAGAAGUGAUAAGAUAAAGAACAUGCCCCAAAGCAGGGGUUAUGAACUUAGAGGGUUUAAAGAACUGAGAGGUCAGCAUGACUCAUCUCAGAGGGCAGAGUCUGGACCUCUGAGAGGGAAGAGAGGGAAGUAGGAUCCACCCAGAUAUAGGAACUCAGAGAGUAAAACCUAAGAUCCUUACCUUGCUCUGCAAACAAUAGGAAGCUAGAGUGAAUUCUAAGCAGAGGUGAUACCUGCUUUACAUUUGAAAAGAUCAUGUUGUGAGUAGAAUGCUGGUGAAAAGAUGGGAGUAGAGGUUUGGAGACCAGCUAAGAAAUUGUUAGGCUGCUGGUGUGGCUCAGUGGUAGGUCCCCAGCACUAAGAGAGAGAGAGAGGGAGAGAGGGGGUGGGGAGAGAGAGAGACAGAGACAGAGACAGAGAGAGAGAGAGAGAGAGAGAGAGAGAGAGAGAGAGAGAGAGAGGGGGAGAGAAUAUGAGGGAGAGAAACAGAGACACUGUUAUUGUGGUCUGGGUGGGAGAAGAUGGUAGUAUGAAGCCCAGUGAUAGCAACUUCAGUGCUGCCUCUUCCAGGAAGCCCUUUCUGAUCAGUCUUCCCUAAACACAGCAGAACAUGUUUAUCUGUUAGUCAUUCACAGUUCUCAUUACAUUUUUCUUCCUAUUGCACUUAUUUGUGAAUCUAUCUUGUUCCCUCUAUCUUGGUACCAUACAUGACCACAACCUCACACUGGAUCUGGUGUCUGGAUCAGUGUAAGGAUGUCCUUAACCUAAGAAGGGCCUUAGCCUAAGUACCUCCAUUUUGAAAUAAAACUGCAGUCCCCACCAGGUACGCCUAUGGAGCCCUCCAAUAUGGUCAUCAGGCAUAGCCUGAUUUUAAAAAGUCUCUUUCCACAACCCUGAUAAAACUGAGUGAAGUCUCUGUCAUUUGCUUUCGCAAAUGGCGAGAUUAGGGUGGAGACCACCAGACCAGAUGACUUGACAUCAGAACAAAAGAUGUCACUGAGAAACCCGGUAACAGCUGAUAGGGAUUGAAAGGGCGGUCAGAAACCCCCAAAUUUAGCAUAAAUCAUGGAGUGAAUGAACAUUCAGCCAGCCGACACUGCUGCACACAAGGCUGAGAGCCUGAGGACCUAGGACAUCCUAACUCUUCUCAUCUGCCUGAUCCUCUGCGUCAUCCUUAUCACUCUCAACUCUACAGCAGCCUCUUGAUUCUGGUGAGAAAAGGACUUCUCCUUAUGACCAUCACCUCAGCCAGCCAUCAACUCCACCCCAGGAGAAGCCUCUAUUGGUUCCUGACCUGGUUGCUACGGUCUGAGCGAGUGCAUCUCCUGGACUUGAGACCUAAGACUUAAAACUUUAAAUCUAGCACUUAAGCUUAGCAUGCAGAGGGAAUGUCUGUAAUAGGUCUGUCAUGAUUGAGUGCGUUUGCAGAGCUUAGAGUUAACUUAGAAUUAUUUGCUUUUAAUUGAUUAUGUCUUUUGCAAUGCCCACCAUUAAGGAUUGUCAUUUCUUGAUUAAGAACCUAUAGAGUGAAACUGUAUUAAGUGAUAUGAGUGAAUAAACAUUGAAAAGGGCA